GCUUGUCUCAAAGAUUAAGCCAUGCAUGUCUAAGUAUAAACAGAUUAUACUGUGAAACUGCGUACGGCUCAUUAAACCAGUUAUAGUUUAUUUGAUAUUCCCCUACUACUCGGAUACCCGUAGUAAUUCUAGAGCUAAUACAUGCGUAAAAUCCUGACUUUCUUGGAAGGGAUGUAUAUAUUAGAAUGAAACCAAUCGGCUUCGGCUGUAUUGUGGUGAGUCAUAAUAUCUAAUCGGAUCGCAGAGGCUUCGGCCGGCGAUGAAUCAUUCAAGUUUCUGCCCUAUCAGCUUUCGAUGGUAGUGUAUUGGACUACCAUGGCGGUGACGGGUAACGAAGAAUAAGGGUUCGGUUUCGGAGAGGGAGCCUGAGAGAUGGCUACCACAUCCAAGGAAGGCAGCAGG
This 402-nucleotide ribosomal RNA is filed under the name uncultured marine stramenopile. RNAcentral describes it as "partial small subunit ribosomal RNA". It matches the Rfam family "Eukaryotic small subunit ribosomal RNA", at positions 30 to 432 of the family's 1831-position model. The record is from RNAcentral.